UCCUUGUUAGUACAAUGGCUAGUAUAGGGCACUCUCAUAGCUAGAGACCACUGCUCAGAUCGGGGUUCAAUUCCCCGGCAGGGAA
Violaceomyces palustris is the source of this 85-nucleotide non-coding RNA. The record is from the annotation of a GenBank genome assembly. NCBI's taxonomy places the organism in Eukaryota, Fungi, Basidiomycota, Ustilaginomycetes, Violaceomycetales, Violaceomycetaceae.